AAUUCGAUUGAGUUUGAUCAUGGCUCAGGACGAACGCUGGCGGCGUGCUUAACACAUGCAAGUCGAGCGGUAAGGCCCUUUCGGGGGUACACGAGCGGCGAACGGGUGAGUAACACGUGGGUGACCUGCCCUCAGCUCUGGGAUAAGCCUGGGAAACUGGGUCUAAUACCGGAUAUUCACUUCCUGCUGCAUGGUGGGUUGUGGAAAGUUUUUCGGCUGGGGAUGGGCCCGCGGCCUAUCAGCUUGUUGGUGGGGUGAUGGCCUACCAAGGCGACGACGGGUAGCCGGCCUGAGAGGGCGACCGGCCACACUGGGACUGAGACACGGCCCAGACUCCUACGGGAGGCAGCAGUGGGGAAUAUUGCGCAAUGGGCGGAAGCCUGACGCAGCGACGCCGCGUGGGGGAUGACGGCCUUCGGGUUGUAAACCUCUUUCGACCGGGACGAAGAGUAAUUGACGGUACCGGUAGAAGAAGCACCGGCCAACUACGUGCCAGCAGCCGCGGUAACACGUAGGGUGCGAGCGUUGUCCGGAAUUAUUGGGCGUAAAGAGCUCGUAGGCGGUGUGCCGCGUCGGCCGUGAAAACUUUCAGCUUAACUGGGAGCUUGCGGUCGAUACGGGCAUCACUUGAGUUCGGCAGGGGAGACUGGAAUUCCUGGGUGUAGCGGUGAAAUGCGCAGAUAUCAGGAGGAACA
This 695-nucleotide ribosomal RNA is filed under the name uncultured bacterium. Its description in RNAcentral is "bacterial SSU rRNA". It matches the Rfam family "Bacterial small subunit ribosomal RNA", at positions 1 to 708 of the family's 1533-position model. The record is from RNAcentral.